CCAAGCCAUUCAAUUUUCUUUUUUUUUAAAGGGGAGAUUUGUUAGUAGCUUAAGUAUUUAUAAUAAAUAUUAGUAAAUAAUGAGUAUGUGUGUCCAAUCACAAAUGGUGACUUCUCAACACUGAUUCAAUUUCCUAUGAAAACUAUUUUUGGCUCCCAUUACAAUACAUACAUCAUGACCCUAUAGCCACAGACAAACAGACGUGCCACUCGAUGACGAUUUCAUCGACCAGAAAAAUAACGAUUAUUUCGAAAUUUUGCUUAGUGGGUAAUAAUGCCGCUGGUGUCGCUACUGGUAUAUUUUGACAAUUAUAUUUCCAAAAAACUGGCAGCACGAUCACACCGUUUUUUUGUUAGCAUAACAACGUUAAGAUGGGUCGAAAGUGUGAGAUGGUUAUGUGCCCAAACAGAGAAGGAAAAACUAGUGGAAAAUCCUUUUUCGAAUUUCCGCAUAUAACGGAGAGGUGUGAGCUGUGGGUGAAACUCUGUGGCUCUUCCGAGCUGUCUUCCAAAUUUGAUGCUGAUGGCGUUCAAGCGAUGCGAAAACAUAAAAUAUGUUCAGACAUUUUCCAGUAUUUAUGCUAAAAAACCCUCUGCAAUCGAGUACAGGGCUUCUUAGCAAUGCUGCGCCAUUAGUAUCCGUAGUGCAAUCGGGAGGUACAAAUAGUGAGGAGCAGUAUUUAGAUAUCCUAGAAAUCGAACCCCAUGAAGCAGAAGAUCUGGUCUCGAGAGAAGAACCAAGGUAUAAAAUUCAUAUAAAAAAAUACAUCCACUUACGUACUUUUUCAUAGUUUUAACUGCAGCGUAAUACAGUGCCGAAAUACUGAAAAUAGUAGAGUAAAAUCAGCUGAUGAGCAAGUUAAUAAUAUUGAAAAUUUUG
This is a long non-coding RNA of Wyeomyia smithii (pitcher-plant mosquito), 879 nucleotides long. RefSeq lists it as uncharacterized. Lineage: Eukaryota; Metazoa; Arthropoda; Insecta; Diptera; Culicidae. The transcript is spliced from 3 exons. The record is from RefSeq and is a predicted model, not a curated record.